Non-coding RNA from Triticum aestivum (bread wheat), 124 nucleotides. NCBI's taxonomy places the organism in Eukaryota, Viridiplantae, Streptophyta, Magnoliopsida, Poales, Poaceae. The record is from Rfam.
AUAAUACUCCCUCCGUCCGGAAAUACAUGUGGAGAAAUGCAUAAAAAUGGAUGUAUAUAGAACUAAAAUACAUCUACAUACAUCCAUUCCUCCGACAAGUAUUUCCGGACGGAGGGAGUAUAAU